ACUCACGCGGGAAUCUUACCGGGUCCGGACACACUGAGGAUUGACAGGUUCCGAGAGUUUUUGCUUCGGCAAUGCUCUCUUAAAUAUGAUAGUCCUUUCAUGAUUAUGUGAUAGGUGGUGCAUGGCCGUUCUUAGUUCGUGGAGUGAUCUGUCUGCUUAAUUGCGUUUCACUAAAGGCGUCAUAUCUGUUUUGUUGCGUGUUUGACCCCUCUUCGGAGCGCGUGUCUUCACGCACAAUUACUUUGGCGUCUGAAAGCAACGAACGUGACCGUAACCUCUUGUUGCCUUCUCUUCUCCUCGGAGAAUGCUGUUUGUUUUUGCAGGCAGUAUAUGGAGGCUUUUUUACUCAACAACUAGAGGGACCGCUGUUUCUUUCUUUAAACCAGAGGAAGGAUACGGCAAUAACAGGUCUGUGAUGCCCUUAGAUGUUCCGGGCUGCACACGUGAUACAUUGAUUACUUCAGUGAGUAUCUACGUUUUACUGCGUGGCAUUGCAAUGCAUAUUUCUUCGGAAGUGUGUUUUUGUUUGCCGCCUCAACCUGCUUCGAAAGCAUGCGGGUAACCAAUUAGAAGUAGUGAUUUCCUUUUUUAUAAGCACACUAAUAUGGGGCAUCAUCACCCGGCAUGCAUUGUUGUAUGUUUUGUGUGUGGUGUUUGCUUUUCCAUGUGCUUUUGUCAAUUCAUAGUGGGGAUAGACCA
Molecule: ribosomal RNA, 699 nt
Filed under: Elphidium sp. S3
Lineage: Eukaryota; Foraminifera; Rotaliida; Elphidiidae
Description: SSU rRNA
Rfam family: Eukaryotic small subunit ribosomal RNA (bases 1-565)
Source: RNAcentral